Molecule: non-coding RNA, 148 nt
Filed under: Chlorocebus sabaeus (green monkey)
Lineage: Eukaryota; Metazoa; Chordata; Mammalia; Primates; Cercopithecidae
Source: Rfam by way of RNAcentral
GCUGGGUGUAGUGGCUUGUGCCUGUGGUCCCAGCUACAUGGGAGGCUGAGGCAGGAGGAUCACUUGAGCCUGGGAGGCUGAGGCUGCGGUGAGCUGUGAUCACGCCACUGCACUCUAGCCUGGGCAAGAGACUGAGACCCUGUCUCAA